This 616-nucleotide long non-coding RNA is filed under the name Chrysemys picta bellii (western painted turtle). RNAcentral describes it as "lncRNA (ENSCPBG00000020251.1)". Lineage: Eukaryota; Metazoa; Chordata; Testudines; Emydidae. The record is from RNAcentral.
CCUCUGCACCCCGCGAUCACACAGGCCGGGGCAGUGCAGGUCCCCCGUGCCCUUCGCGGGACGUUCCCAGCCAGGGCAGCACGCGCUCCGCCCCCGCUCGUCAGCUGGGCAGCACGUGCGCACGCCCACCCCUGCCCACCGCCGGGAUUUCACUCCGCCCGCCUGGCCCGGGCCGGGGUUGUGUGAGGUCACCAUGUCAGGGGGAGGCGCCCCGCGGCUAAGGUUUCAGUCGCGCGCCAGGGCUCCUCUAUAUACAGACGCCACCGCCUCGCGCUUUCUGACCACUUAGCGCUCGGAACCAGACGGGCGGUUGCUGCUGAGGAGGGCUCGCGUGUGCAUGCAGAGCCCCGUCCCGUUUGCUGGCUGGGCGGGGGCGCUGCAGAGGGGGAGGCCUUUCGGGGAGCGUGGGCCAUCCAGAUUGUUCUGUGCCAGUCUGCUUGACUUUUGCCCCAGUCAGUGCCUUUGCUAUGGCAUCUGUGCCUUCAGCUGGCUGCCUCCUGGCCAAGAAUCAGUACUACAGAAGAAACCUCUCAAAACUGAUGCUGAUUAUGAAAAAGUUUCAACACCUGGUUGUGCAGUGUUUAAGUCACUUCUGAGGGAUUUGGAGCUCGAUUGA